GGGGAAUUUUGCGCAAUGGGCUAACGCCUGACGCAGCAACGCCGCGUGGAGGAUGAAGGUCCUUGGAUUGUAAACUCCUGUCAGCAGGGAAAAAGCGACUUAGCCUAAUACGCUAGGGAGUUGAUUGUACCUGCAGAGGAAGCCACGGCUAACUCUGUGCCAGCAGCCGCGGUAAUACAGAGGGGGCAAGCGUUAUUCGGAAUUAUUGGGCGUAAAGGGCGCGUAGGCGGCUUGGCAAGUGGAUGGUGAAAUCCCUCGGCUUAACCGAGGAACUGCCAUCCAGACUGCUUUGCUUGAGGCCGGGAGAGGUGAGUGGAAUUCCCAGUGUAGCGGUGAAAUGCGUAGAUAUUGGGAGGAACACCAGUGGCGAAGGCGGCUCACUGGACCGGUUCUGACGCUGAGGCGCGAAAGCGUGGGGAGCAAAC
RNAcentral lists this ribosomal RNA (425 nucleotides) under uncultured bacterium. Its description in RNAcentral is "bacterial SSU rRNA". It matches the Rfam family "Bacterial small subunit ribosomal RNA", at positions 356 to 773 of the family's 1533-position model. The record is from RNAcentral.